AGUGAACGCUGGCGGUAGGCCUAACACAUGCAAGUCGAACGGCAGCACAGUAAGAGCUUGCUCUUACGGGUGGCGAGUGGCGGACGGGUGAGGAAUACAUCGGAAUCUACUUUUUCGUGGGGGAUAACGUAGGGAAACUUACGCUAAUACCGCAUACGACCUACGGGUGAAAGCAGGGGAUCUUCGGACCUUGCGCGAUUGAAUGAGCCGAUGUCGGAUUAGCUAGUUGGCGGGGUAAAGGCCCACCAAGGCGACGAUCCGUAGCUGGUCUGAGAGGAUGAUAAGCCACACUGGAACUGAGACACGGUCCAGACUCCUACGGGAGGCAGCAGUGGGGAAUAUUGGACAAAGGGCGCAAGCCUGAUCCAGCCAUACCGCGUGGGUGAAGAAGGCCUUCGGGUUGUAAAGCCCUUUUGUUGGGAAAGAAAAGCAGCAGGUUAAUACCCCGCUGUCCUGACGGUACCCAAAGAAUAGGCACCGGCUAACUUCGUG
Molecule: ribosomal RNA, 492 nt
Filed under: uncultured bacterium
Lineage: Bacteria
Description: partial 16S ribosomal RNA
Rfam family: Bacterial small subunit ribosomal RNA
Source: RNAcentral